UACGUUCCCGGGCCUUGUACACACCGCCCGUCACGCCAUGGGAGUUGGUGCUGCCCGAAGCAACCGCAAGGUUUCUACGGCAGUACUGAUGACUGGGGUG
This 100-nucleotide ribosomal RNA is filed under the name uncultured bacterium. RNAcentral describes it as "partial 16S ribosomal RNA". It matches the Rfam family "Bacterial small subunit ribosomal RNA", at positions 1367 to 1482 of the family's 1533-position model. The record is from RNAcentral.